GGUCAUAGUCACUGGUGAAGGGAUUGGAAAAGUAUGGUGAUCAGAAUGAUGAGGACAGAGAUAUGACUGAUGCCAUUGCUGCUCAGGUGCGCCGUUUGGCCAAUGAAGUUCGGCAGAUAGCGUCAAACAGGUAAUUUAUCAUCUCUUGUGGUUCCAGCAGCUGUCGUCGGUGCUGCAGGCUAUGGCUAUAUGCGGUUCAAGGUUUGCAAGUUUUUGGAGGUGUCAAUGUUGUCUUUUUCACCUGAAUAUGGCCCUAAGCUGAAGGAGGAAUAUGUGAUGGUGAAGCAUCUACCUAAAAUUAAGAAGGAUGAAGACUCCCGAAAGUGUUGUUUGUCUGACUGCUUUCAUUGUUAUAAUGACAAUUGGCAGAAGGUGUGGGCUGUACUGAAACCUGGAUUCUUGGCAAAUUGUGAAACCUGACACAAAACAAUAUUAUCCGAGCUGUGAGGAUUAUGAUUCUAGUGUGGAUUGUUUUUCAGCUCCAACCAAGUACGUGAUUUGGAGUAGUAGAAUAAAUACUCAUGUUUGGCCUGCAUAUGUUAUAAGCUUCAGGGUUCCUUCAUUCAAAGACUUAAGCAGAUGGACCCUGUCAUCAGUGGGCGUGGUGCUGAACCUGUAUUUCGUGAUAACUAAGGAAACGAUAUUCUAAAAGUACUUCCAUAUACUUUCUCCAGUACUGCAUAUCAUUAUUUUGUUUAUACUGUGUUUCUUAUAUGUUUGUAGCUUUCUAUAUGCAAUGGGCUGCAUAUUAUAUAGGUGCAAAAUGUGAAUAUUC
Vicia villosa (hairy vetch) is the source of this 775-nucleotide long non-coding RNA. RefSeq lists it as uncharacterized. The record is from RefSeq and is a predicted model, not a curated record. Lineage: Eukaryota; Viridiplantae; Streptophyta; Magnoliopsida; Fabales; Fabaceae. The transcript has 6 exons.